This is a long non-coding RNA of Cervus elaphus (red deer), 203 nucleotides long. RefSeq lists it as uncharacterized. The record is from RefSeq and is a predicted model, not a curated record. The transcript is spliced from 3 exons. Lineage: Eukaryota; Metazoa; Chordata; Mammalia; Artiodactyla; Cervidae.
CCAUGCAGGUGACACGGGUCUCAUCCCUGAUCUAAGAGGAUCCCACAUGCUGAGGACAAACUAAGCCCAUGCCCACAGCUAUUGAGCCAGUGCUCUAAAGCCUGUCAGCCACCAACUUCUGAAACCUACGUGCCUAGAUCCCGUGGUCUGCAACAAGAGAAGCCACUGCAAUGAGAAGCCCGUGCACCUCAGGUAGAGAGUAG